This 256-nucleotide ribosomal RNA is filed under the name uncultured bacterium. RNAcentral describes it as "partial 16S ribosomal RNA". It matches the Rfam family "Bacterial small subunit ribosomal RNA", at positions 524 to 776 of the family's 1533-position model. The record is from RNAcentral.
UACGUAGGGUGCAAGCGUUAAUCGGAAUUACUGGGCGUAAAGCGUGCGCAGGCGGUGAUGUAAGACAGUUGUGAAAUCCCCCGGGCUCAACCUGGGAACUGCAUCUGUGACUGCAUCGCUGGAGUGCGGCAGAGGGGGGAUGGAAUUCCGCGUGUAGCAGUGAAAUGCGUAGAUAUGCGGAGGAACACCGAUGGCGAAGGCAAUCCCCCUGGGCCUGCACUGACGCUCAUGCACGAAAGCGUGGGGAGCAAACAGG